Molecule: ribosomal RNA, 253 nt
Filed under: uncultured bacterium
Lineage: Bacteria
Description: partial 16S ribosomal RNA
Rfam family: Bacterial small subunit ribosomal RNA
Source: RNAcentral
UACGUAGGGGGCAAGCGUUGUCCGGAUUCAUUGGGCGUAAAGAGCGUGUAGGCGGCCAGGUAGGUCGGCUGUGAAAACUGGAGGCUCAACCUUCAGAGGUCGACCGAAACCAUCUGGCUAGAGUCCGGGAGAGGAGAGUGGAAUUCCUGGUGUAGCGGUGAAAUGCGCAGAUAUCAGGAAGAACACCCGUGGCGAAAGCGGCUCUCUGGAACGGUACUGACGCUGAGACGCGAAAGCGUGGGGAGCGAACAGG